RNAcentral lists this ribosomal RNA (583 nucleotides) under uncultured fungus. RNAcentral's name for it is "eukaryotic LSU rRNA". The stretch from base 209 to 362 matches the Rfam family "5.8S ribosomal RNA". The record is from RNAcentral. Lineage: Eukaryota; Fungi.
AAGUCGUAACAAGGUCUCCGUAGGUGAACCUGCGGAGGGAUCAUUACCGAGCGAGGGCGCUUGCCGCCCAACCUCCCAACCCUUUGAUUUGAUCAACACCUCGUUCUGCCUCGGGGCGACCCGGACCUUCGGGAAGGGGUCCCCCCGGUGGACACCUCCAACUCUGCAUCAAUUGUCGUCCGAGUACCAAUGAAAAAAAUUCAAUCAAAACUUUUAACAACGGAUCUCUUGGUUCUGGCAUCGAUGAAGAACGCAGCGAAAUGCGAUAAGUAAUGUGAAUUGCAGAAUUCAGUGAAUCAUCGAAUCUUUGAACGCACAUUGCGCCCGCCAGCAUUCUGGCGGGCAUGCCUGUCCGAGCGUCAUUUCAACCCUCAGGCCCCGUAAUCUCUCGGGGCCUGGCGUUGGGGAUCGGCCCUGCAGCCCAGGGCCGGCCCCGAAAUCCAGUGGCGGUCACGCCGCGGCUUCCUCUGCGUAGUAGAAACACCUCGCAUAGGGACGCGGCGCGGCCACGCCGUAAAGCGGGCGCGAGCCCAACUUCUUCAAGGUUGACCUCGGAUCAGGUAGGAAUACCCGCUGAACUUAA